ACGAUGCUAGCUAGAUGAUUCAUUCGCAAGUCGCGAAUGAAGUGUCGCAGGGAAGCCGUUAAGCUAGCCGCCUGGGGAGUACGGUCGCAAGACUGAAACUUAGAGGAAUUGGCGGGGGAGCACCACAAGGGGUGAAGCCUGCGGUUCAAUUGGAGUCAACGCCAGGAAACUUACCAGGAGAGACAGCAGGUUGAGGGUCAGACUGAAGAUCUUACCUGACGAGCUGAGAGGAGGUGCAUGGCCGUCGCCAGCUCGUGCCGUGAGGCGUCCUGUUAAGUCAGGCAACGAGCGAGACCCCUAUCAGUAAUUGCUAACUGCCCAGAGAUGGGCAGAGGCUAGUUACAGAGACUGCCGUUGAUAAAACGGAGGAAGGAAGGGGCCACGGCAGGUCAGUAUGCCCCGAAACUCCUGGGCCACACGCGGGCUGCAAUGGUAGGGACAAUAGGUUCCGACCUCGAAAGAGGAAGGCAAUCCCCAAACCCUACCCCAGUUGUGAUCGAGGAUUGAAACCCGUCCUCGUGAAUAUGGAAUCCCUAGUAACCGCGUGUCAUCACCGCGCGGUGAAUACGUCCCUGCUCCUUGCACACACCGCCCGUCGCUUCACCCGAGUUUGGUCAGGACGAGGUCACCUCAUGUUGUGGUGAUCGAAUCUUAGCUAGGCAAGGGGGGAGA
This 672-nucleotide ribosomal RNA is filed under the name uncultured archaeon. Its description in RNAcentral is "bacterial SSU rRNA". It matches the Rfam family "Archaeal small subunit ribosomal RNA", at positions 757 to 1430 of the family's 1478-position model. The record is from RNAcentral.